Molecule: ribosomal RNA, 893 nt
Filed under: uncultured bacterium
Lineage: Bacteria
Description: bacterial SSU rRNA
Rfam family: Bacterial small subunit ribosomal RNA
Source: RNAcentral
AGAGUUUGAUUAUGGCUCAGGACGAACGCUGGCGGCGUGCUUAAUACAUGCAAGUCAUAGGGGCUAAUUUCCUUCGGGAGAUUGGUCACUGGCGCACGGGUGCGUAACGCGUAAGUUAUCUUCCCUUGGGUCUGGCAUAACGUCGGGAAACCGGCGCUAAUUCCAGAUGAUAUCGCAAGAUCAAAGCCUUCGGGCGCCCAAGGAUGAGCUUGCGUCUGAUUAGCUUGUUGGCGGGGUAAUGGCCCACCAAGGCGACGAUCAGUAGCCGGUCUGAGAGGAUGAUCGGCCACAUUGGGACUGAGACACGGCCCAGACUCCUACGGGAGGCAGCAGUAAGGAAUAUUGCGCAAUGGACGAAAGUCUGACGCAGCAACGCCGCGUGCAGGAUGAAGGCCCUUUGGGUUGUAAACUGCUGUAGAAAGGGAAUAAUAGUUUGCCACGGGUGAACUUGAAGGUACCUUUAAAGUAAGCGCCGGCUAACUACGUGCCAGCAGCCGCGGUAAUACGUAGGGCGCAAGCGUUGUCCGGAUUCACUGGGUGUAAAGGGUGCGCAGGCGGAUUGGCAAGUCAGAAGUGAAAUCUUACGGCUCAACCGUGAAACUGCUUUUGAUACUGCUUAUCUUGAGUUCGGGAGAGGUUGAUGGAAUUCCAGGUGUAGCGGUGAAAUGCGUAGAUAUCUGGAAGAACACCAGUGGCGAAGGCGGUCAACUGGCCCGCAACUGACGCUCAUGCACGAAAGCGUGGGGAUCAAACAGGAUUAGAUACCCUGGUAGUCCACGCCCUAAACGAUGUAUGCUUGGUGUUGGCUCUUUAGAGUCAGUGCCGUAGGUAACCUGUUAAGCAUACCACCUGGGGAGUACGCUCGCAAGGGUGAAACUCAAAGGAAUUGACGG